This 254-nucleotide ribosomal RNA is filed under the name uncultured bacterium. RNAcentral's name for it is "partial 16S ribosomal RNA". It matches the Rfam family "Bacterial small subunit ribosomal RNA", at positions 524 to 777 of the family's 1533-position model. The record is from RNAcentral.
UACGAAGGGGGCUAGCGUUGCUCGGAAUCACUGGGCGUAAAGGGUGCGUAGGCGGGUCUUUAAGUCAGGGGUGAAAUCCCAGAGCUCAACUCUGGAACUGCCUUUGAUACUGGGUAUCUUGAGUAUGGAAGAGGUAAGUGGAAUUGCGAGUGUAGAGGUGAAAUUCGUAGAUAUUCGCAGGAACACCAGUGGCGAAGGCGGCUUACUGGUCCAUAACUGACGCUGAGGUGCGAAAGCGUGGGGAGCAAACAGGG